AUGAAUUGCAUGUUUUGGAAUGUCAGGGAAAUAGAUACCCCAUGUAGAAAACCUCUCAUACUAGAUUAUAUCAACAAGACUCAUGCAUCCAUACUUGGCUUCCAGGAGACCAAGAAAAUGGAUUUUUCUGAUUCUUACAUUAGAUCUUUAGUAGGUAAUAGAUUCUUUGAAUGGAAACAUCUGCCUUCAGUUGGUUCUGCUGGAGGCAUCCUAGUGGGAGUGGAUUUAGAUAUUUUUGAGGUAAUUAGCUGGGAAGUGAGGAAUUCCUCAAUCUCCUGCAACCUUAAGUUGAGAAGUAGUCAAGUUGAGUUUAGGGUGGUCACAGUGUAUGGAUCAGCCUAUGAAAAGGGUAAAGAGGACUUCAUUUAUGAACUUCACUCACUAUUUCUAGAUUCAAGCACACCUACAUUAGUUGGUGGUGAUUUUAAUUUGGUUAGAUACGAUAGUGAUAAGAGCAAUGGGAACAUAAAUCAUAGAUGGGCUGAUAAUUUUAAUUCCUGGAUAGAGAUCUGGAGUUUAUUGGAGAUUAAGCUCCCCUCCAGAAAAUACACCUGGGAUAAUAACCAGGCUGACAUGAUUAUGUCCACUAUAGAUAGGAUGUUCUGCAAUACCGAGCUAGAUAAGAUUUUCCCCUUAGCCUCUAGCAGUGCCCUGCCUAGAUUGAGGAGUGACCAUAUUCCUAUUAUUUGGGACUCUGGGGUAAAUAGGCAGGCUAAACCUAGUAGUUAUAAAUUUGAGAAAUGA
This 744-nucleotide ribosomal RNA is filed under the name Triticum aestivum (bread wheat). Its description in RNAcentral is "partial small subunit ribosomal RNA". The record is from RNAcentral. Lineage: Eukaryota; Viridiplantae; Streptophyta; Magnoliopsida; Poales; Poaceae.